RNAcentral lists this transfer RNA (68 nucleotides) under Neorossia caroli. RNAcentral's name for it is "tRNA-Lys". Lineage: Eukaryota; Metazoa; Mollusca; Cephalopoda; Sepiida; Sepiolidae. The record is from RNAcentral.
UAUUAAGUGGCCGAAUUUUAAGCACUAGACUUUUAAUCUAGAAAAUGAUUUCCUUCAAUCCUUAAUAU